AGUUGAAAAACAAUAUAUCCGUAGACCGUAGGUGCGAGAGCGUAACGAUUACUACCUACCGAGGAUCCAUAACAUAGAUUAAUGUGUGGUCUUCUUGCGUCUGCGGGAAGGCCUUUGUUUUAUAGA
This is a non-coding RNA of Clostridium cadaveris, 126 nucleotides long. Lineage: Bacteria; Bacillati; Bacillota; Clostridia; Eubacteriales; Clostridiaceae. The record is from Rfam.